AAGUCGUAACAAGGUUUCCGUAGGUGAACCUGCGGAAGGAUCAUUACGAAUAAGUCCGAGCUGGGUCUCACUAGUGAGACUUGGCGGGGUAUUCUCAUAGUGUGCACUACGAUUUGACGUUGGUGGAAGGCUUGUAUGAGUCGACCACCACACUUGAUUACCUUUACUUUAUUUUGAACCUAUAGCGACUCGUUACUGAAUCGCUCUUGUGGGUAUACAACUUUCAGCAAUGGAUCUCUAGGCUCUCC
RNAcentral lists this unclassified non-coding RNA (248 nucleotides) under fungal sp. RNAcentral's name for it is "partial internal transcribed spacer region". The stretch from base 1 to 46 matches the Rfam family "Eukaryotic small subunit ribosomal RNA", at positions 1786 to 1831 of the family's 1831-position model. Lineage: Eukaryota; Fungi. The record is from RNAcentral.